AAUGAAGUGCCUGAUUAAAGGGCUAUUUUGAUAGAAUAGAUUAAGUAAUUUUACCUUCAUUA
This 62-nucleotide transfer RNA is filed under the name Bostrichoidea sp. 6 KM-2017. RNAcentral describes it as "tRNA-Ile". The record is from RNAcentral. Lineage: Eukaryota; Metazoa; Arthropoda; Insecta; Coleoptera.